This 497-nucleotide ribosomal RNA is filed under the name uncultured bacterium. Its description in RNAcentral is "partial 16S ribosomal RNA". It matches the Rfam family "Bacterial small subunit ribosomal RNA", at positions 28 to 507 of the family's 1533-position model. The record is from RNAcentral.
GAUGAACGCUGGCGUCAUGCCUAAUACAUGCAAGUCGAGCGAACAGACGAGGAGCUUGCUCCUCUGACGUUAGCGGCGGACGGGUGAGUAACACGUGGAUAACCUACCUAUAAGACUGGGAUAACUUCGGGAAACCGGAGCUAAUACCGGAUAAUAUAUUGAACCGCAUGGUUCAAUAGUGAAAGACGGUUUUGCUGUCACUUAUAGAUGGAUCCGCGCCGCAUUAGCUAGUUGGUAAGGUAACGGCUUACCAAGGCAACGAUGCGUAGCCGACCUGAGAGGGUGAUCGGCCACACUGGAACUGAGACACGGUCCAGACUCCUACGGGAGGCAGCAGUAGGGAAUCUUCCGCAAUGGGCGAAAGCCUGACGGAGCAACGCCGCGUGAGUGAUGAAGGUCUUCGGAUCGUAAAACUCUGUUAUUAGGGAAGAACAAAUGUGUAAGUAACUAUGCACGUCUUGACGGUACCUAAUCAGAAAGCCACGGCUAACUACGUG